RNAcentral lists this long non-coding RNA (8092 nucleotides) under Homo sapiens (human). RNAcentral's name for it is "HSALNT0070126". The record is from RNAcentral. Lineage: Eukaryota; Metazoa; Chordata; Mammalia; Primates; Hominidae.
ACACACAAAAGCUGAAAAAUUAGUCCAAAAAUUAAAUUACAACCUAGUCAACUCCAUAGCUAAGAAUCUUCCUUUUUUUUUCCUUUAAAGGUCACCAUUCACAAUUACUGUUCAUGGGUGCAGGGGUGAGGAUGACUGUAUUUAGGUGCAAUUGUUUAAAUUUAUGCUCUUCAUAAAAGCAAGUGUCUCACUCUGACAAGGGUUGUAACCCUCAUGCAUUUCCUACAGCUCUAGCUGAAUUGGAACUAUUAGGUCCCGUUCACUUACACCUUCUCAGAGAAGAUUCCAUUUCCCAAUUAUUGGAACAUUGAGUCAAAUAAAAGCAAAUGUUGUUAAAGAAAACAACAUGGAAAGAGUCUUUCGAUAUCUAAAGAAAGCUGGGGAUUGAUCGAAACUAAGUAGUUGAAAAUGCAUCUCUAUCCAUGACUUGAACCACAAAGGUGGUGGGAGGCGGGGUAAAGGAAAGAGGGAUAGGAACUUGGAGCAGGGGCAAGAAAGAGAGAAAAUUUAUUGAAGUAGAGAAAGAUAAUUGGUAUCUGGAAUUUCCUCUGCAAUUUAAGGCUGUCAGGCCAGCAUCUUGCACAUCUUCCCACAUUGAACACAUCGCUAUUACGGAAGCAGAGCUCUAUUCUAGGAUAGAUUAAAGAGCUGAUAGGUGAAACCAGCUGCAGAGAGCAUCUGUUUUGUUUUUGUUUUUGUUUUUAUUUUUUUUUUAUUUCAGAGCAGGAGUCCUUGCAGAACUAGAAAAAUACAGAUUCCAGAGUUCUUAGGAGGUUGUAGUCUAGGAGGGAGUUUUCACAACCUUCCAAUCUUUAAAGUGCACUGAGCUCAAUGAAUCCCCAUGAGUCCUUCCAACACGUGACUUGCCAUAGCAACUUUAUCUUCCAAAAUAUUACUGGGGUGAAAAGACCUGGAGCACAGCUUCACUUUUACCCAAGGUAUUUCCUAUUCAUUGCCUUAUUAUUUGACUAACGCCUGGGUGGCUAUGUUUGCAGAUCCUGUCUUCUAGGCUACCGUGAGGAGUUGCUCCAUUACUUAUUUCCUAAAUGAAUAGAACUACCUCUUCUCAGUCAUCACAGCCUAAGCAAAUGGUUUGAAAUGAUAAACCUGCCAAACAGCUUGUGGUCACACAGCUGACUUGUAGAAUCUUUAGGAGCUUUGAUUAGUAUGACUUGUGGGGGUGUUGGAAAAAGAGAAGUCACUUAGGAUAACAUUUGUUAAGAAUCAGUGGUAUGUCCUAUGCAGCCAUGAAAAAAGAUGAGUUCAUGUCCUUUGCAGGGACAUGGAUGAAGCUGGAAACCAUCAUUCUCAGCAAACUAACACAGGAACAGAAAACCAAACACCACAUUUUCUCACGCAUAAGUGGGAGCCGCACAAUAAGAACACAUGUACACAGGGAGGGGAACAUCAUACACUGGGGUCUGUCGGGGGUGGGGGGCUAGGGGAGGGAUAGCAUUAGGAGAAAUACCUAAGGUAGAUGAUGGGUUCAUGGGUGCAGCAAACCACAAUGGCACAUGUAUAUCUAUGUAACAAACCUGCACGUUCUGCACAUGUAUCCCAGAACUUAAAGUAUAAUUUAAAAAAAAGAAAGGAAAAUAAAUCAUUAUGUGAAAAAAAAAUCAGUAGUAUGUCAAGAAAUUUAAUUUCAGUAUAUUUUCAUAAUAACCCUGCAAAGAAAACCUGGUUAUUCCCCUUUUUCAUUGAGGAAACAUAAGACUUCUCAAGAAUCUCCAACGUUCUUGGCUAGGCUCGAGGGGGCAGAACUCAGUUGUCUUUGACUCCAAAAACUCACGAACCACAGAAAGUGCAUCAACCUUUUUUUUUUUUUUUUUUUUUUUCAAAGCGGAGUCUAUCUCUGUCACCCAGGCUGAAGUGUAGUGGCGCGAUCUCGGCUCACUACAACCUCUGCCUCCCAGAUUCAAACAAUUUUCCUGCCUCAGCCUCCCGAGUAGCUGAGAUUACAGGCGCCUGUGACAAUGCCCAGCUAAAUUUUGUAUUAUUAGUAGAGAUGAUGGGGUUUCACCAUGUUGACCAGGCUGGUCUCAAACUCCUGACCUCAGGUGAUCUGCCUGCCUCAGCCUCCCUAAAUGCUGGAAUUACAGGUGUGAGCCACCGCGCCCGGCCAAGUGCGUCAACUUUUAAAGCUGCGUUACCUCCUUCUGAAAGCCCAUUUGAACAGUGAACUUUUAUGGUAUGAAGAGUGUAUUCCUAUACGCCAAUAUGUUAGAAGAUUCUGUGGAUUAGUAGCAGUGCUUUUUAAGCUUUUUUGUUCAUGGUGCAAAUAAGGAAUGAAUUUUAUAUUAGGACCCUGUACACACAUACCUAUUCUAUGUCUAUAAAAGUACAUUUGUAACUGAAAACCACUCACAAAACAAUACCUUCUUUUAUAUGUGAAAAGCAUUCUGAUAUGUUCUAGUGUAUUUUCAGACUAUGUAUAAUACUAGAACAGUGGUUUUGAGUACUCAUUAUGGAGCAAAACCAGCUGGGAUCAUAUGUGCAUGCAGAUACUUGACAAUCGUUGUAGGAACUUGGAAAAGCAACUUAACCUAUAAAAACAAUUAUACCUCAAAAGGUUGUCAUGAAGAUUAAAUAAAUAUUAUGUGAAAAUCACUGACAUAAAAAGUACCCAACAAAUGUUGGCUCUUACUCUGUUAGGACCUCAGCACAGGGCCUAGAUGGAGCAGCUUUACAAUGACUGACACAUAAAAGCACCACAAAAAGGUUUGCUGUUUGUGAUGCUGUGUACUUAUUAUGUCUACUAAGUGUAGGGCAAUGUGAUAGGAUGUAUAAACAAAAGAAAUUGGAUAAUAUUUACAUAGAUGAGCAAAAGGAAUGGGACAUCACACAACAUAAACAAUUUUGUGGAGACAGAUUUUUUUUUUUUAAAUCUGAGAUCAGAUUCUUAGUCAUUUCCUUUUAUAAUUUAAUAUAAAAAUAAAUAUGGUAUAUGUAUUUGUCUAGUCCCUUAUUUGAGGCUACUUCUCCCACUAGACUGUAAACCUUUUUAGGGCCAAGACUGUGUCUGUUAACCCACCACUGUAUUUUCUUGGCCUGUAGCCAUAUCUUUGACGUAGAAAUCAUUCAAAUUACUACUUACGGCCGGGCACGGUGGCUCACGCCUGUGAUCCCAGCACUUUGGGAGGCUGAGGAGGGUGGAUCACAAGGUCAGGAGAUUGAGACCAUCUUGGCUAACAUGGUGAAACCCCUUCUCUACUAAAAAUACAAAAAAUUAGCCGGGCGUGGUGGCGGGUUUCAUGCGCGUCCCUGUGAAGAGACCACCAAACAGGCUUUGUGUGAGCAAUAAAGCUUUUAAUCACCUGGGUGCAGGCGGGCUGAGUCUGAAAAGAGAGUCAGCGAAGGGAGAUAAGGGUGGGGCCGUUUUAUAGGAUUUGGGAAGGUAAAGGAAAAUUACAGUCAAAGAGGGUUUGUUCUCUGGCGGGCAGGAGUGGGGGUGGCAAGGUGCUCAGUGGGGGUGCUUUUUGAGCCAGGAUGAGCCAGGGAAAGGACUUUCACAAGGUAAUGUCAUCACUUAAGGCAAGGACUGGCCAUUUACACUUCUUUUGUGGUAGAAUGUCAUCAGCUAAGGUGAGGCAGGGCAUAUUCACUUCUUUUGUGAUUCUUCAGUUACUUCAGGCCAUCUGGGCGUAUACGUGCAAGUCACAGGGGAUGCGAUGGCUUGGCUUGGGCUCAGAGGCCUGACAUUCCUGCCUUCUUAUAUUAAUAAGAAAAAUAAAACAAAAUAGUGUUGAAGUGUUGGGGUGGCAAAAAUUUUUGGGGGGUGAUAUGGAGAGAGAGAAUGGGCGAUGUUUCUCAGGGCUGCUUCAAGCGGCAUUAGGGUCGGCGUGGGAACCUAGAGUGGGAGAGAUUAAGAUUUUAGUUUCCUGACUCCGGACAUGUUGAGUAAAGCUAAUUUGCCAGUCCUGGGUGGGGGCAAAUCCUCGAGCUUGAUGUGUAGGGAAGGGAGGGGGCCUGAAUAAUCCCUGAGGAAUAGUAGAAUAGCAGAUGGAACACUGAGAAAUUAUUUCCUUGAGGAUAGAUUUCCACGAUGGAAAGGAAAUGAGAGGUUCUGAGAGGCGGGCUAGUGGCUUGUACUAUAGCAUAGCCUGCCUUUGCUGGUGUGUGGCGAUUAGGCCUGGUGGAACUGCCAUCAAUAAAUCAAGCGUGAUCAGGGUGAGGAACAGGAAAGAAGGAAAUAUGGGGAAAUGGGGUGAAUGUCAGGUGGAUCAGAGAGAUACAGUCAUGGGGGUCAGGUGUGGUAUCAGGAAUAAUGUAGGAGGCCAGAUUGAAGUCUGGGCCAGGAACAACGGUAAUUGUGGGAGACUCAACAAAGAGUGAGUACAGCUGAAGGAGCCGGGAAGCAGAAAGUAUAUGCGUCAGGUAUGAGGAAGAAAAUAGAUUUUGGAAGUUAUGAGAACUGUAGAGAGUGAGUUGAGCAUAGUUUGUGAUUUUGAGGGCCUCUAAAAGUAUUAAAGCAGCGGCAGCCGCUGCACGCAGACAUGAGGGCUAGGCUAAAACAGUAAGGUCAAGCUGUUUGGACAGAAAGGCUACAGGGUAUGGUCCUGGCUCUUGUGUAAGAAUUCUGACCGCGCUAACCAUGCCUAGGAAGGAAAGGAGUUGUUGUUUUGUAGAAGGUGCUGGGGUUUGAGAGAUCAGUCGGACACGAUUGGCAGGGAGAGCACGUGUGUUUUUAUGAGAAUUAUGCCGAGAUAGGUAACAGAUGAGGAAGAAAUUUGGGCUUGAUUGAAGUAAUGGGGGCUGUCUGUGAAGCUUUGCAGCAGUACAGCCUAGGUAAUUUGCUGAGCUUGAUGGGUGUCAGGGUCAGUCCAAGUGAAAGUGAAGAGAGGCUGGGAUUAAGGGUGCAAAGGAAUAGUAAAGAAAGCAUGUUUGAGAUCUAGAACAGAAUAAUGGGUUGUAGAGGCUGGUAUUGAGGAUAGGAGAGUAUAUGGGUUUGGCACCACGGGGUGGAUAGGCAAAACAAUUUGGUUGAUAAGGCGCAGAUCCUGAACUAACUUGUAAGGCUUGUCUGGUUUUAGGACAGGUAAAGUGGGGGAAUUGUAAGGAGAGUUUAUAGGCUUUAAAAGGCCAUACUGUAGCAGGCAAGUGAUAACAGGCUUUAAUCUUUUUAAAGCAUGCUGCGGGAUGGGAUAUUGGCAUUGAGUGGGGUAAGGGUGAUUAGGUUUUAAUGAGAUGGUAAGGGGUGCAUGAUCGGUCACCAAGGAGGGAGUAGAGGUAUCUUAUACUUGUGGGUUAAGGUGGGGGGAUAUAAGAGGAGGACGCAAAGGAGGCUUUGGAUUGGGAAGAAGGGCGGCAAUGAGAUAUAGCUGUAGUCCAGGAUAGUCAGGGAAGCAGAUAAUUUAGUUAAAGUGUCUCAGCCUAAUAAGGGAACUGCGCAGGUGGGGAUAACUAAAAAGGAGUGCUUAAAAGAGUGUUGUCUAAGUUGGCACCAGAGUUGGGGAGUUUUAAGAGGUUUAGAAGCCUGGCCGUCAAUACCCACAACAGUUACGGAGGCAAGGGAAACAGGCCCUUGAAAAGAAGGUAAUGUGGAGUGGGUAGCCUCCAUAUUGAUUGAGAAGGGGACGGGCUUACCUUCCACUGUGAGAGUUACCCGAAGCUCGGCGUCCGUGAUGGUCUGGGGGCUUCCGAGGCGAUUGGGCAGUGUCAGUCUUCAGCCGCUAAGCCGAGAAGAUCUGGGAAGGAGUCAGUCAGAGAGCCUUGGGCCAGAGUUCCAGGGCCUCUGGGAGUGGCUGCCAGGUGAGUUGAACAGUCCGAUUUUCAGUGGGGUCCCACACAGAUGGGACGCAGCUUAGGAGGAACCCUGGGCUGUGGGCAUUCCUUGGCUUGGUGGUCAGAUUUCUGGCACUUGUAGCAAGCUCCUGUGGGAGGAGGUUCUAGAGGAACGCCUGGCCACUGCAGUUCAGGCGUUUAGAAGUUCUUGUGUGCUGGAGAUGUGGCUGGGGUUUGUCUCACAGUGGAGGCAAGGAAUUGCAACUUUUUUCUAUUAUUGUACACCUUGAAGGCGAGGUUAAUUAAAUCCUGUUGUGGGGUUUGAGGGCUGGAAUUUAAUAUUUGGAGUUUUAAUGUCAGGAGCAGAUUGGGUAAUAAAAUGUAUUUUGAGAAUAAGACGGCCUUUUGACUUUUUAGGGUCUAGGGCUGUAAAGCGUCUCAGGGUUGCUGGGGAACGAGCCAUGAACUGGGCUGGGUUUUUAUAUUUGAUGAAAAAGAGCCUAAACGCUAUCUGAUUUGGGAUAAAGAAAAAGGAGCAUUAACCUUGGCUAUGCCUUUGGCUCCAGCCACCUUUUAAGAGUAAAUUGCUGGGCAGGUGGGGGAGGACUAGUCACAGAACGAAACUGUAAGUCGGACCAGGUGUGAGGAGGGGAGGUGAUAAAAAGAUUAUAGGGUGGAGGAGCGGAGGCUGAGGAAGAAUUGGGACCUAGCUCUGCCUGGCGAGGAGCAGGCUGGGGAGGAAGGGAGAGGUCAGAUGGGUCUGUAGAAAAGGAAGAUUAGAAAGACUCAGCGACGCUUGGGGUUGGGACUGAGGGGACAGGCGGGAGGGAAAGAAGGAAGAUUUGGGACGAGUUGCACUGGGCACAGAGACCAGGACGGGACUGAUGUGUAAAAGAAUGCCUGGACGUCAGGCACCUCAGACCGUUUGCCUAUUUUAUGACAAGAAUUAUUUAGAUCUUGCAGGAUGGAAAAAUUCAAAGUGCCAUUUUCUGGCUAUUUGGAACUACUGUCGAGUUUGUAUUGGGGUCAAGUGGCAUUGCAGAAGAAAAUAAGGCAUUUAGGUUUUAGGUCACGUGUGAGUUGAAGAGGUUUUAAGUUUUUGAGAACACAGGCUAAGGGAGAAGAAGGAGGAAUGGAAGGUGGAAGCUUAUCCAUAGUGAAGGGGCAAGCCCAGAGAAAAGAGUAGAGACACGGAGAAGGGGUGGGGGGUUCUUGCCCUCCAGAAAAGCAGAGAAGCGGUUGGGGCACGGAAAUAAGGGAUUGGGGCACAGAGGUAAGAGGUCAGGGUGCGGAAAUAAGGGAUUGGAGCACAGAGAUAAGAGGUUGGGGUGCGGAAAUAAGCGAUUGGGGGGUUCUUGCCCCCUAGGGAAGCGGGACUUGCCGCUAAGGGUGAAGGAGAAGGGGUUGAGGGGUACUUGCCCCUGCCCCAGGAAAGCAGAGAAGGGGUAGAGACAAGGAGAGAAGGGGUUGAGGUACUUGCCCCUUCCCCAGAAAAGUGGGACUUGCCGCUAAGGGUGAAGGAGAAGGGGUUGAGGGGUUCUUGCCCCUGCCUCAGGAAAGCAGAGAAGGGGUAGAGACAAGGAGAGAAGGGGUUGAGGUACUUGCCUCUUCCCCAGAAAAGUGGGACUUGCCGCUAAGGGUAAAGGACCAAGGCAGGUGUCCCUGCGUGGUCUGACACCCUUGAAAUGUGGGUGUAUAAUCAGAGAGGUGUCCCUGCAAUGAUUAAACACCAAGGGAAGGCUGCCUUCCCAGUCUGUGACCGGCGCCGGAGUUUUGGGUCCACGGAUAAAACGUGUCUCCUUUGUCUCUCCCAGAAAAUGAAAGGAAUUGAAAUUAAGAGAAGGGAGAGAUUGAAGAGUGGAAAGAAGAAAGUGGUUGAGGGACAGUGAGAGAGGUUGGAGAAGAGAGUAAGAAGAGGCCGCUUACCUGAUUUAAAAUUGGUGAGAUGUUCCUUGGGCUGGUCCGGUCUGAGGACCUGAGGUCAUAGGUGGAUCUUUCUCACGGAGCAAAGAACAGGAGGACAGGGGAUUGAUCUCCUAAGGGAGGUCCCCCGAUCUGAGUCGCGGCACCAAAUUUCAUGCGCGUCCCUGUGAAGAGACCACCAAACAGGCUUUGUGUGAGCAAUAAAGCUUUUAAUCACCUGGGUGCAGGUGGGCUGAGUCCGAAAAGAGAGUCAGCGAAGGGAGAUAAGGUUGGGGCCAUUUUAUAGGAUUUGGGAAGGUAAAGGAAAAUUACAGUCAAAGAGGGUUUGUUCUCUGGCGGGCAGGAGUGGGGGUCGCAAGGUGCUCAGUGGGGGUGCUUUUUGAGCCAGGAUGAGCCAGGUAAAGGACUUUCACAAGGUAAUGUCAUCACUUAAGGCAAGGACCGG